UUUCGCAAUGCCCGAAAGGGUGACGAAGCGACGCCGCGUGUGGGAAGAAGGCCUUCGGGUUGUAAACCACUGUCGGGAGUUAAGAAAGGUGUACGGGUAAAUAGUCCGUGCAUUUGACAAAAGCUCCGGAGGAAGCCACGGCUAACUCUGUGCCAGCAGCCGCGGUAGUACAGAGGUGGCAAGCGUUGUUCGGAAUUAUUGGGCGUAAAGAGCACGUAGGCGGCCCUGCAAGUCAGCUGUGAAAGCCUCCUGCUUAACGGGAGAAGUGCAGUUGAAACUACGGGGCUAGAGUGCGGAAGGGGAGAGUGGAACUUCUGGUGGAGCGGUGAAAUGCGUAGAUAUCAGAAGGAACACCGGCGGCGAAAGCGGCUCUCUGGUCCGUAACUGACGCUGAGGUGCGAAAGCCAGGGGAGCAAACGGGAUUAGAUACCCCGGUAGUCCUGGCCGUAAACGAUGGGCACUAAGUAGAGGGGUUUU
Molecule: ribosomal RNA, 477 nt
Filed under: uncultured Planctomycetales bacterium
Lineage: Bacteria; Pseudomonadati; Planctomycetota; Planctomycetia; Planctomycetales
Description: bacterial SSU rRNA
Rfam family: Bacterial small subunit ribosomal RNA
Source: RNAcentral